AGCUAAUAAGCUCAGCCAUUGGCAGAGUCAUUUUGCACUGCAAACUUCAUUACAGUGAUUCCAGAGAUAGUACUUAAAAAUGAACUUUGGAUAAUGUUCCAAUUGAGAGUUUUCUGUACUCAAGAAAUGUACCACAACAGCACAGACUGGGGUUAGACAAGAAGGAGCAGAGGGGCACCAGAAGAAGCCUAGGAAACUUAGAGCAUUGCAAGAAAGAGAGGAAUCUAGACUGCCAAACAGCCUGUCCUCUUAGCUGUGCUUGUCAAAAGGUUUUUACCUCAGAAUCCCAGGGUAUAUCUUGGUUAUAAACAACUAGUAUAUGUCUAAGUUAACAGCUUAGUAACCUGAGUACAGUUAUGUAGCAGAAGUUUUAAUCAUUUUCCACAUUUUCUUUUUUUGUCGUCUUAAGGAUUUCUGGACUGGGUGAAUCUUAUCUGCAUUUGGCAAUCAUGAUUCUGAGACUGAAAUUGUGUAACUCUGGAAUUUUAGAGGUGACUGCGUGACAAUUCUGAGAGGCCAAUGCCAAUGAGAGAAAAGUUUACUGCUACUCAUGAUGGCGCCCCUGGAAGCAGAAGACACAGCACGCUAUAGAGGGCCAUGUGGGAAAGCACUGGAGUAGCUCCAGGCCGGGCUUGCCAGUCUCUCUGCACUCUGGAAGGAGUUUGCCUGGGUUGGGGUUGUCCCUUGGUAGAUUCCAAACCUUCAUUUUGUCAAUUUACUUAAAGGUGACUGGGUUUAAAGGGGCUGACUGAUUGUAAAUAACUUGGAGAAUAAAUCAAUAUUCAUUAAUAAAGUUAAAUAAUUCACGUAAAAUUAAAG
RNAcentral lists this long non-coding RNA (819 nucleotides) under Homo sapiens (human). Its description in RNAcentral is "non-protein coding lnc-HPS3-2:1". Lineage: Eukaryota; Metazoa; Chordata; Mammalia; Primates; Hominidae. The record is from RNAcentral.